GAUUUCUGGUGUGCUGAACCUGGCCCGCUCCGGUUACGGUAGUGUGUGCCGGGACUUCAGUCGCCAUCCUUGCAGAGAACGUUGCUACCCUUCACUGGGCCGGUAACGCAAUCUGCAUCUUUUACUUUGAAAAAAUUAGAGUGUUUCAAGCAGGCUUUAUGCUAUGAAUACAUUAGCAUGGAAUAAUAAUUUAGGACUUCGGUUCUAUUUUGUUGGUUUCUAGGACUGAAGUAAUGAUUGAUAGGGAUAGUUGGGGGUGCUAGUAUUCAGCGGCCAGAGGUGAAAUUCUCGGAUUCGCUGAAGACUAACUUAUGCGAAAGCAUU
RNAcentral lists this ribosomal RNA (324 nucleotides) under Allapsidae sp. Its description in RNAcentral is "SSU rRNA". The stretch from base 104 to 324 matches the Rfam family "Eukaryotic small subunit ribosomal RNA", at positions 734 to 955 of the family's 1831-position model. Lineage: Eukaryota; Cercozoa; Glissomonadida; Viridiraptoridae. The record is from RNAcentral.